GAUGAACGCUAGCGGCAGGCCUAAUACAUGCAAGUCGGACGGGAUUGGAGAGCUUGCUUUCCAUGAGAGUGGCGCACGGGUGCGUAACACGUAUGUAACCUACCCUUGUCAGGGGGAUAGCCUCUCGAAAGAGAGAUUAAGACCGCAUAACAUUAUUUUAUGGCAUCAUAGGAUAAUCAAAUAUUUAUAGGACAAGGAUGGGCAUGCGGAACAUUAGCUAGUUGGUGAGGUAACUGCUCACCAAGGCUACGAUGUUUAGGGGAUCUGAGAGGAUCGACCCCCCACACUGGUACUGAGACACGGACCAGACUCCUACGGGAGGCAGCAGU
RNAcentral lists this ribosomal RNA (329 nucleotides) under uncultured bacterium. Its description in RNAcentral is "bacterial SSU rRNA". It matches the Rfam family "Bacterial small subunit ribosomal RNA", at positions 28 to 355 of the family's 1533-position model. The record is from RNAcentral.